UACGGGGGGGGCAAGCGUUGUUCGGAAUUACUGGGCGUAAAGGGCUCGUAGGCGGCCAACUAAGUCAGACGUGAAAUCCCUCGGCUUAACCGGGGAACUGCGUCUGAUACUGGAUGGCUUGAAUCCGGGAGAGGGAUGCGGAAUUCCAGGUGUAGCGGUGAAAUGCGCAGAUAUCAGGAGGAACACCGAUGGCGAAGGCAGGUCUCUGGGCCAUAACUGACGCUGAGAAGCGAAAGCAUGGGGAGCGAACAGG
This 253-nucleotide ribosomal RNA is filed under the name uncultured bacterium. Its description in RNAcentral is "partial 16S ribosomal RNA". It matches the Rfam family "Bacterial small subunit ribosomal RNA", at positions 524 to 776 of the family's 1533-position model. The record is from RNAcentral.